RNAcentral lists this ribosomal RNA (1704 nucleotides) under Lembergia allanii. RNAcentral describes it as "SSU rRNA". It matches the Rfam family "Eukaryotic small subunit ribosomal RNA". The record is from RNAcentral. Lineage: Eukaryota; Rhodophyta; Florideophyceae; Ceramiales; Rhodomelaceae.
CCACCUGGUUGAUCCUGCCAGUGGUAUAUGCUUGUCACAAAGAUUAAGCCAUGCAAGUGCCUGUAUGAAUGUCUCAAAAAGUGAAACUGCGAAUGGCUCGGUAAAACAGCAAUAAUUUGUUUGGGAAUAAUACUACUCGGAUAACCGUAGUAAAGAUAGAGCUAAUACGUGCUAAAACAGCGACUGAAUUUAUUCUUUCGUGGUACUAGUUAUUAGAUACAACACCAGUUUAUUCUCGGUGAUUCAUACUUAUUUUUCUGAUCGCACUCGUUGCGACAGCCCAAACAAAUUUCUGACCUAUCAACUAUGAUGGUAAGGUAGGGUCUUACCAUGGUUGUGACGGGUAACGGACCGUGGGUGCGGGAUUCCGGAGAAGGAGCCUGAGAAACGGCUACUACAUCCAAGGAAGGCAGGAGGCGCGCAAAUUACCAAAUCCGAAAUUCGGGAGGUAGUGACAUGAAAUAGCAAUAGGGGGAUCAAUGAUCUCCCUAAUUGGAAUGAAAACAAUUUAAAACUCUUAUUGAGUAUCCAGCAGAGGGCAAGUCUGGUGCCAGCAGCCGCGGUAAUUCCAGCUCUGUAAGCGUAUAUCAAAGUUGUUGCAGUUAAAACGCUCGUAGUCGAAUCCGGGCGGUCGAUGCUGAGGUUCCGAAAGGUUCUGAUGUUUCGCCGCCUUUGUGGACGGGGGUGUUGUGGUACUUCAUUGUACUGCCUCAUUUCCACCACUUUUUACUGUGAAAAAAUUAGAGUGUUCAAAGCAAGCGAUUGCCCUGAAUACAUUAGCAUGGAAUAAUAGAAUAGGACCUGGUUUCUGUUUUAUUGGUUUGUCAGUAUCAGGUAAUGAUUAAGAGGGACGGUCGGGGGCAUUUGUAUUCCAGCGUUAGAGGUGAAAUUCUUAGAUCGUUGGAAGACACACAGCUGCAAAGCGUCUGCCAAGGACGUUUUCAUUGAUCAAGAACGAAAGUAAGGGGAUCGAAGACGAUCAGAUACCGUCGUAGUCUUUACUAUAAACGAUGAGGCCUGGGGAUCAAACGUGUGANUUAUUAGUACGUUNGGCACCCUCCGGGAAACCAAAGUUUUUGCUUUCUGGGGGGAGUAUGGUCGCAAGUCUGAAACUUAAAGGAAUUGACGGAAGGGCAUCGCCGGGUGUGGAGCCUGCGGCUUAAUUUGACUCAACACGGGAAAACUUACCAGGUCCAGACAUAGUGAGGAUUGACAGANAGAGAGCUCUUUCUUGAUUUUAUGGUUGGUGGUGCAUGGCCGUUCUUAGUUGGUGGAGUGAUCUGUCUGGUUAAUUCCGUUAACGAGCGAGACCUGGGCGUAUUAAAUAGAAAAUGUUAUUCAUUUUUGGUCUAGCAGAUUAUUUUCUUCUUAAACGGACUGUAGGCUUUUAGUCUACGGAAGCUCCAGGCAAUAACAGGUCUGAGAUGCCCUUAGAUGUUCUGGGCCGCACGCGUGCUACACUGAGUAGUUCAAUGAGUGAGGUAGUACGAAAGUAUGACCUAAUCCCGAAAUCUGCUCGUGCUGGGGAUAGAAGCUUGCAAUUCUCCUUCUUAAACGAGGAAUACCUUGUAAGCGCGAGUCAUCAUCUCGCGCUGAAUACGUCCCUGCCCUUUGUACACACCGCCCGUCGCUCCUACCGAUUGAGUGGUCCGGUGAGGCUUUGGGAGAGCUAGGUAGAUUGUGAAUUUCACAGACYAUUAGGCU